CUUUGGGGACGCUCACACCCACUACUCUGUCGGCGCCAUUGGCAGCCAAGUCUGCAUGAACAAGGGGAAAAGGGUUCUUUCAUUCUCUGUGAGUAUUGUCUUUGAAGGGAAAUGAGUAUUGUAGAUGGGCGUCUCUGCGGAUUUCAGCAAAUGGGGAGAUGAAUGACGGGAUGGCUUGCACCAUGGCCACAAACAAGAUUAAGGGAUGAAUAGUACAAAGUUCAUUCAUGGGCGAGGACCCUUGAAAAAAACAACAGGCUGAC
Long non-coding RNA from Lolium rigidum, 263 nucleotides. RefSeq lists it as uncharacterized. NCBI's taxonomy places the organism in Eukaryota, Viridiplantae, Streptophyta, Magnoliopsida, Poales, Poaceae. The record is from RefSeq and is a predicted model, not a curated record. The transcript is spliced from 3 exons.